This 406-nucleotide ribosomal RNA is filed under the name uncultured bacterium. Its description in RNAcentral is "partial 16S ribosomal RNA". It matches the Rfam family "Bacterial small subunit ribosomal RNA", at positions 30 to 526 of the family's 1533-position model. The record is from RNAcentral.
AUUGAACGCUGGCGGCAGGCCUAACACAUGCAAGUCGAACGAGUGGAGGACGGGUUAGUAAUGUUUGGGCAACUGCCCGCUGGAGGGGGAAAACUGCUGAAUACGGUAGCUAAUACCGCAUACUAUCGGAUCUGCCCCGGUGGGAUUAGCUAGUAGGUGGGGUAACGGCUCACCUAGGCGACGAUCCCUCGCUGGUCUGAGAGGAUGACCAGCCACACUGGAACUGAGACACGGUCCAGACUCCUACGGGAGGCAGCAGUGGGGAAUAUUGCACAAUGGGCGCAAGCCUGAUGCAGCCAUGCCGCGUGUAUGAAGAAGGCCUUCGGGUUGUAAAGUACUUUCAGCGAGGAGGCGUUACUCGCAGAAGAAGCAUCGGCUAACUCCGUGCCAGCAGCCGCGGUAAUUC